RNAcentral lists this unclassified non-coding RNA (250 nucleotides) under Oryza sativa (Asian cultivated rice). RNAcentral's name for it is "partial microRNA MIR491b precursor". The record is from RNAcentral. Lineage: Eukaryota; Viridiplantae; Streptophyta; Magnoliopsida; Poales; Poaceae.
UCUUAGGGCAAGUAUAAUAGUAGGCUAUAAGCUGGCUAAAAGUUAAGGUGGAGAAGAGAAGAGAGAAGAAGUGGGCUGUAAACUUACAGUCGGCUUGGAAACAAGAUCUAAGAAACUCUGUGAGAGAGACAAGUGGACCCUAUAUUAAUUGUAAAGAGCUAACUAUUAUAUGGGUAGACUGAGAGAAUGCUACAAAGAACCUUAUAGCCAACAGAUCGGUUGUAUUAUUAGCCUUGCUCUUAGAAUAGAU